GUAGAACUCUAAUCUACAUCUUCUGACUGCAAUUCAGACACUUUUAUUAAGCUAAGGCCUU
RNAcentral lists this transfer RNA (61 nucleotides) under Anniella pulchra. RNAcentral's name for it is "tRNA-Ala". Lineage: Eukaryota; Metazoa; Chordata; Lepidosauria; Squamata; Anniellidae. The record is from RNAcentral.